Chroicocephalus ridibundus (black-headed gull) is the source of this 18565-nucleotide long non-coding RNA. RefSeq lists it as uncharacterized. The transcript is spliced from 6 exons. Lineage: Eukaryota; Metazoa; Chordata; Aves; Charadriiformes; Laridae. The record is from RefSeq and is a predicted model, not a curated record.
CGCGCAGUCCGUCUCCCGCCGCCUGACGCCGCCGCUUUUGUCAGGCGGCGCGGGCGCGGGCGCGGGAGCAGGUGGCGAGCAGCAGCCCGCACCGCACCGCACCGCACCGCGCCGCGCAGCACCGAACCGCGCAGGCAGCGGCGAGUGGUCACACGCAAUGAAGUCCACGCACUGUAAUGCAUUUCUGGCCAGCUUUUCCAGGGGUCGAACCAGGGACUCUGUGGAGUUUAAACCCCUCAAAUGGAGUCGGCAGACUGCAAGAAAAAACAGGGGGAGAGAAAACACGCUGGAAUUUCAUUUAUGUCUCACAUGGGCGCCAAACUGUGAGAGUUUUCCAGCCCUUCAGGUGGAGUCAUCUCUGUUCCUCUCUGCUUACCCUCACCCCUUUGCUUUCUUCCAUUUCUACUAGUUGUAUAGCACGGUUAUGCUCUCCGGCCCGACUAAUUUAUUCUGAUUUUGAACAGAACAGUCUAGGUCCUUGUAAUCUACAGUGGCUGCGAGCUUUCCUUACCACUUGUCAUUUACUGCUUUGACAGUAUUUCAUAACAAAGGCUAUUAGAUACCUCCUCUUUUUCACUGCACAUAUUGGACAUACGUGGUACCCGGCACAGAAACUAUUACAGGGCAAUCCCAGGGCACACUUCCAUCAGAAAUCAAAAUCUGACAGGACAGUGACGACUAGCAGAUCUAGGGGGUUAACUUUUAACCAUAAGUUACCAGCAAUUAAAGUCCUGAUAUUAAUAUUUCAUUAAUGGCUCCUCCUAAGUAACUAAUUUGUUAUUCAACCAGCUAAAAGUGUCUAUAGCCUUGCCAGCAGACUUCAGACCAACCCGUGGUUCAAGAAUAAAUCUUUAAAAUAAUGGAUUACUUACAAGAGCUUUGAACUUCUACUGGGACAAUUCUCGUUGCAUUUAUUUCUCUCUAGGUUUGGAUGUGAAAAUUAUUAGUAGUUAUGUGUAUUUUCAGCAAAAAAGUAAAAUAGUAAAUUCCAUCAAACACUGACUACAGCUACUUUUUAUCAUAAAAUUUUACAAAUUCCCCACCAGUGAGCUCAUUAGUGUAAAUGAUAGAGCCUUAUCUCAGGUUUAAAGUCAGCAUUUUUCCUUAGCUACCGAACAGCCUGUUUUCUUUCGUGACAUGGUAAUGGAGGACUUUACUCCAGAGAGCAGGGGAAAUAUUCCUCUCUGUUCUUGCAGGGCAAUCAAGUAGGGCUGGCAAAAACCAAGCAGACUGAGUGGGAUUUCAGUGCUGUCGGUAUCCUUCUGCAAGCCUUUUGUAGAAGCAGCAGAGCCUUCGCAGGGGAGAGGAGUGCACGUUGCACCACAAGCCUUGCGUGAGGGGCAGAUGUCAAGGGACGACAGCGGAGGAAGGCUGUUUCUCCCUAUUCUCCCUCCCAAUCCUACCCUCCAAAAUCUUUGUGACAUACAAGCACUACAUGACGUACACAUUAGCAUCCCAGGGUAGCAUCAGUGUUGCUCAGCACACCCUGGUACCUCACCAGAGCUGGGAAGCUGCGGAGUCACGCUGGCAAUAGGCACAGACGGUGGAGGUCUCCUCACCUUCCAGGAGCACCUGCAGAGGUAAGAGGAAUGGGGUUGAGCUCUUAAAGACACUGGCGACUACAGAUAAAGGUAAUGCUUAAAAAUUUUCAGUUGAAAAUUAUGACUUCAGAUGACCUCAAUGGCAGAGAGAGGGGAAAGGGAGGGCAAAACCCUGAGUGCCAAAUAAAUUCUCGUGACUUACAACUAGCCUAGUAACUGUAGGGUAAUCCUGUGAGCCAGCAUGUGAACGCUGUUCCAUACCGCCUAUUGAACUUUGCUUUUUAUGUAUAGUGAUCUCUUGCAUUCAUCAGAGGACAGUAAAACAACUCUAACGAACACGGUCAAGGGCUAAAGCUGGACUGCUCAGAGUUUGGGUUAGCUGCUCAGAAAGGGGGAGGUCAUUGAUUGUGUCUGGUGUUCAUCUACUGCUUUCUGAAAUUGUAAUACAGCAAAUUUCCAUCUUCUGCACACUCCCAGUAUUUUAAAGAGUUGUUUGCGGCUCUGAAGGAGAGUCCCAUCCCCCAGUACUCCCGUUUGGCUCCCGGCAGCGCUGGGGAGCCCGCCUGGCAUCCGCACCCGCAGCUCCCAGGGGCCGAGCAGGUGCCCGGCGUGCCGGACCCCUGGCAGGGGCCAGCGGGCUCAAUGGCUCCGCUCCAACCUCGUCGUCAGGCAAGCGGCGAGGCAGUUUGCUUGAGUGACAGGAGAGGGAAAAUACGCUGGCUGCAGGCUGGAGAGCCUUUUCUGGUGAAACGCGAGCAGUGUCCAGCAGUGCAACAAACAAAACGACAAACAAGGGGAUGUGCACACCUAGAUUUUGUACGUUUGAGUUAAUAAAGGCUGGAGGAACAUUGCUGUUUGUGCCAUAAACUCAGCAAAGAUUUCUGCAGGAAACCUUCUGUCCCUAGAGUCAAGUGCAGUCUAGUUCAAAAAAAAAUCCUGAAAGGAAGUAAAAUACCAUAAUUUGGGGAGAAGAGAAUAUAUCUCGUAGGAAACAAAAUGUCUUCAAUUCACUAAUUGGAGUAAUGUUGUUUAAAUGCUAUUUAGACGUGAAACAGAGUGUCAUUAUUAAUUUGGCUUGGGUCAAGCAGCAUUUUCCCAUCUCUCAAUUCCAGAUUUUUGAUUCCGCAGAGGGCUGGGCCUGCGUUUCCCCGUGUGGGCAGGUCCCCCCCUGCGACAGCAUCCUUUGGAGUGCUGAUUCCCGGUAAAGCUCCAUCCAAAGCCUAUCAGGCUCAGAGUCCAUUUUUUCUUUCAUCUUCUCUCAACCUUGAAUUUACCUCACCAUCGGAUGUUUUAUGUCAUUUCUGGAACUGCAUUUGCACUACAAGACAGGACGUAUGCAAAAUCAUUUUACUGUGGCACAAACACAGGAAAGAUGAUUUGGAAGAAAGGCCAGAGGCCAGAGGUUCUGUUUCUAAUUCUUUCACUCAGCUGCUGCAGACUGUGGGAACUUCUGAGCCUGUCAGUCAAUCUCAGCCAGAAUAAAAAGCAUUGUAAAUCUGAAGAAUAAAUACGUGCCUGUAAGACUUCAUGGACGUUUUUGGUUGGGGAGCAGAAGGAAACAUAAAUUAGAGCUCUCGCUGAGCAAAGGAAAGGUGUAAAUCCUGCCCAGGACUCUUGUCUAGCAAUGAGAUCCCUUCUGGAGAUAAAACAGGCCCGCCUGAGAUAACCUCUGCCAGUGGCAGGGCAAAGAGGGAAAACCCUGAUGAGCCAAAAGUGUUUCCAAAGGCAAGAAGUAGCAAUCCCAUCCCUCCAGAGAGGUUGAGAGGCGGUAAAAGAAAAUAAGCAGAAUGGGGUAAGUCCAGCUCGUUAUUUGAAAAUUAUAGCCCAAUUUUUCCAUGUUUCUUCAAACCAAGUUCUGAGCCUAGCAAAAUUAUCCACCAUUAAUGACCAGGCCUGAGCUGGCUGUUGGGUAGCAGCCUGCAGCAGCAGACCCAGCGCUGCCCCGGGCGAGAGCUGUGCUGCCGGAGCCGAGCGCUCCUCCUUGCCCGGGCGGAAAGUCCCUUGCUUGUCUAUUACAGCAGGAAAUGUUUUGAAAUCUGAACAAUGCAAGAGAUCUGAGGGCAGACAGCACAGAUAAUGAAAAGAAAAAAGAACUAUUACUUGGAAAUGAUUGUUGCUUUGUCACUUUUCCUUAAUUUCCUCAGUAACUAGUAGAAACCGUUCCUUAGAAAAUAUUUAGGAAAUAACAUCCAUAACACCAUUUCCCUGCCUCAGUCUUAGCCAUUGUUUCCAUCCUUUUGCUUUUGAUGACAGGUGAGUUUCAAUUGUAGUCCUUUUUAUGAAUACUCAGUGUAUAAAUUAUGCAGAUUAAAGUCUCUAAUUUCAGAGUAAAUUUCAAAGAUUCUGCUCAUCCUGAGUUGUGCAACAACUGCAUAACACUUUUAUUUCAUUCUUCAAAGGCUUUAAGAUCAAAAUUUUUGUUUUAAAUAAUGCCCAUAAAAUCCCUACAUUCACCUACUAAAGCAGAAGCUGGAAGAAUUAAAUAACAAGGUUUAAUCUUCAGUUAAAUUUCUUAACUCAGAUAAACAAUACUGAUGUUUACAGUUUUCACACUGUAACAUGUAAUUUGAGAGGAAAACUGUUUUUUGUAGUUUUUAAUUGAAUAUGGUCCAUGUCUAGAACAAACUGACCAGGGGGCAGACCUUCAGCUGGUGCAAAGCAUUUUUGAAGUCGAUACAACAAAAGCAAUGUACAACAACAAAGAACUAAAGUAUCAUCAAGGCUCUGAUUCUGGAAAAAACUCUUUCUUGAUCCACACUGAAAUUGUGUGAGCUGCAUGUGGGGGACAAGGAUUCAGCUGUUUGGAUUUUUAGGCUCAGGCCUCAAGGUUGGGAAAUAAUUUCCUGUAUUGCCAUUUCCAUUUUCGAGCCUUCCCUGGCUGUUUGUUACCGAAUUCAUUGGCAUGUUCUCUGCAAUACGCAAUACAAUGAAGAAAACUUUCCUCAUUCUACGAAAAGGUUUUUGGAUUUCAAAUAAAUGCGUCAGACAUUGGGAUGAAGGAGAGCUCUCAAAAUCACAAAGUCUACACCAGAAUAGCAAAUACUUCCCCAGUACAUAGAAGACCAGCUUUCCAUGGAGACUUAGUUUAUAUGAAAUAAACCAGCUCGACCAUGAGCAAUUGAACAAGGCUCUGUAGUAGUCUGUUGCCUGAUGGCUAGGUAACAUAGUAAGGAUGCAAAAGGUAUAUGUUUGUGUGUCUGGUUAAAUCGGACAGAGACAUCUGAACAGCAGUUUCCUGCAUUUCUUGCAUGAGUCACCCCAACUACUGAGCUGCUGGCCACAUUGGUGCAGGCAAAGGCCUUGCUCAAUGUCAACCUUGUAAAAAUCAGUAUUUUGGCUCCUACAAAAUGGCUUUGGCUUUGAAAUUUGGUGCCUUCCAAUGACAUGCCAUUUCUUGGAACAUUCCCAGUUAACCUGAUUUGCACGUUUUGAAAUUAAGCCCCAAAAUGCUAAGAUGGCACCAAAACAGAGAAAUAUGAAAUUAUCUUGGAAAUCAUUCGUACCUCCCUAUUUGUGUUGCAUGACAAUUAAAUAGCUGAAGGUCGGCUGCAGUCUUAUAGCUGUUAGGUCUGGAUUGCUGUGCGUCACAAGCCUUUUCACAAGAACCUGACAAAUCUCUCUCAUUAAUAACAAAUGACAAUCUCGCUGGUGCUACAAUGCAUGUUACAUUUAAUCAAUUUGCUAUUUGUAUUCAUUAUGUACAUCUCCUAUUUUGAGUCAUGAAAAAUUGAACAGUAAUUACAACAUGGAAGAGCAUCAUGGAUAACAAAUGAGAUAAGACCAGAAAAAGUACUAUUAAUUGGUCAGUUGUGCUUGUCAGUACAUUUAAAGUAAUUAAGGCAGGGAAUGAGAUAAGACAAUUGUAUGCCUUUGAAGUAAAACAGAGUAUCAGAAUACCCACUGGUCAGGUACCCUGGUUAUGACAAAGACUCAAUCAUCUAAACAUGUACGGUGUUAAGACGAGCUUUAAAGAGCUGUUUAACUACAGCUUUUACUUAAAGAAGUCAAAGUAACUUCCUUGAGUGAAAUGCAAUUGUAAUGCCUGGUAGCGUGACCACGCUAUAAAUAAGACUGUCAGCAUCUCCAUUAUAGCCCCCACUGCCAGGGGCUGCUAACUCAUCUCUUCUACAUUUCAACAGCCUCAAAGAGGGCAAACAAAUUAGUGACUCAGAUGUCUAUUUCUGUACUAAAAAAGGAAGAACAAGUUAAACUGUUUUUAACCAAGAGUAUCAAGAUGCUGAUAAAUUUUUAGGAUUUUCCCGUGAAUCAGAGCUUCACAGGAUGGAAAAUAGAAACGGAAGUGGAAGGAACUGUGUCCCUCUAUGAGACUGAGCUAGGCUGAUGCCGUUUUGCACCUUGGUAAGAUCCUGAAAAGUAGAACAGCCACACUAUCUGGAUUUAACAGCUGCUGAGUACUUCUACUGUUGGUUUAUGAGCUUUUUACCAAAUCUGUUAGUCCGCAUUACUUCUGUUGCUGGUAUACGUCAACACAGAAGAACAAAGGGCCACGUCCAGGAACAGUGAAUGUGCCUAAUUUAAUUUUGAACAGAACUUUGAGGAACUUAACGUGUCCACCGACAAUGCAGCAGUCCAGGGAACUCCUAUCCUGAGGUACACAAGUCUCUGGGCUCCAGCGUUUCCUCCAGGAUCAAACUGAGCAGCAUGCUCGUGUUUGGACCCAAUCAGUGCAAGCAGCAAGCACCCCAGGGGCUAGUCCUAGUAAGCACACUGGAUUUGGCUUCUUAAAAAUGGACCUGCUAUGGACCCUACUUCAAAUUAAAAUGUCUAACAUGUAAGAUAGCGCUCAGAAGAGAGUACACCUCGCACCAUGGGCUGCAUCCUGGGCUGAACGCAUCCUUUCCCAGAGUGACUCUGAAUGUAAUAUUAAAAUCUGCCAUCAUUCAUAUCUGUGAAAAGCACAGAGAUAACAGCGUACACUCGCUUCUCUUUCAAAUCAGCAUCAACACGCUGUCUCUCACAUUAAAUAUUGAUCAAACUUCUGAGUCAACAAAUUUCAUGACUGAAGCAAACAGAAGGCAGCACUGGGAUGCCCACUGUCAGGGCCAGUCCCAAGCAACUAUGCUGGACGCUCUUCCAAAGCGCUCCUGCUGCCCUUUCCCUCCCGGAAAGCGUACUGGCAGCAAGCUCUGCUCUCACAGCUCAGCCAUGUGGCCAAGUCAUUGCCGCAUGCUUCCUAGCUCCACACCGCACUGCCUCCUGCCCACUAUCCCAAAGCGACACUGCUAAUACCUAAAAGUGUCGAUAAUGCAGAGGUACCAUAUCUCUUUAAUGAUUGCCUUGCUCCCGGUGUCUUCUCCUGGUUUCUUUGCUGUAAUAAGCAGACAGCUGGCACUAAACACCAGUGGUUUUCCUGGGUAUGAUAAUGAUUUGACAUAAAAGAUAAUGUUAGACACAGUUAGGUAGAGAUGUGACUUGGGCAGUUUCCCUCUUGUCCCAUUUCCUUCUGCUGUCUUUGUCUACAGCAAGCAAAAAUGAGAGAUGAAGUAUUGCUGCUCUCUAUUUUGUUUUAUUUACUAGUGCUGCUGCAUCUGGACAGACAUUGACUGCUGUUUCAUCUGAACGCGCCCAAACAAGGUCCACCAUUAGGAAAUGGAGACAUUUCCACUUUUGCAUUGCAAUCAUUACAUUCCAAGAGUGUGGAGGACAGUUCUGGAGUACAACACAUUAGCCUAUGAUGCAAAAAAAAAAAGUAAAAAUAUGUGUAAUUUAGGCCCCAACAUUUGGAGCUUAGGGUCACAGCCUAGGCUGUUCAGUAAUGUAUUAAAUAGCAGACAGUGUGUCUAACAAUUUGACUAAGCAAAACAUAGGGCUAUGCUUAAAAUACAUUGCUCUCUUUGUUUUCAAAUGACUUAUUCAACUAACUAAAAAAACGCAACAACAAAAAAAAAAAAACAACAAACCCCAAAACCUAAGAAGAAUUUAUUUUAGUAGGUUCAAUAGUUUGUAGGUUGUUGGUUGUUCACCUUAGAGAUGAACUUGUACUGAGUCCUUGUGCAGAUAAUUAAGAAUGUUUCUGUCUCCUUCUAUUGCUGACUGUAAACAGAGAGCAUGGCUGCAAAAACUUACUUUCUAUCCUAAUUCAACAGUUAAAAUAUUUUUAUUUUAAAUAGUUUAACCAAAACUAGAACAGGUUAAAAACAGGGGGAAAAAAGUAAUGGAGAUACUGUUUCUCCACCAACAGUCAAAACUUUCACUCUUUAUUUUCAAAUCCAUACAUUUUGACCAGCUUUGCUCACCAAGAAAACCUGAAAAGCAAGAUAGACUUGUGCCAUUGAGAAGUGUUGAAGAGCACCCUUCAGGUUUCUUGAAAAGCUGACUAUCAAGAAACCAGAGCUUUCUUUAGAAGCAACCAGAGAGUGUGUAUAGACAAACACCUGAGAAGCAUAGCCUAUAAGAAAAACAACAUCUCGUGUCUUUUAAGCAUUGCAUCUAGUACUGUUUUGUAUCAUUAAAAGCUAAGAAUGAGGUUGUUGACAAUGCACCAGUAUGAUUGCAAUACCAUUGUGGUCUUAAUUGGUCAUCAUAAUAGCACACGUCUAAUUUCCAAGUGUGGGUUCAUUUACUGGACAGAACGAUCCCAACUUGUUCAGACCAUUCAAAUCAUGCUUUAAAGUGGCAUGGCUAUGUGCCAGUUGUGCUACCUGGGGACGACUUCUCAAAUUAGAGCUUUACAAUUGAGGCUCCUCAUUAUUCUCCAAAGGGCUGCUUCUGUAAGCUACUACCUGUGUGUGCGUGCAAGGUCACAGCAACAGCUACUUGUUUCUUUUGAGCAAAGCUUGUUCCUGUGAGCUUGCUUGGAAACCCCCAAGCCCGUUAAAAAAUGCCAGCAAUCCAAGCAGCCAGCCAGUUCUUCAAAGGGGUCUCCCAGCAUUGGCAUUACUUGUGUCAUUUGUCCAGGGACAGAACAUUUGUUUCUUGAAACCACCGUAACUCAGCAGUCAAACCAGGUUGCACUGCCUGGACUCCUUCCUGGCACCUCUGCUGCCUGCUUCCACGCCAAGGCUCAACUGCUCCCUGCAUGAGGCUUUCCAAAAACAAACUCCUUUCUGGCAUCUCCCCAAAAAGCCACUCACUCCUAAGCUUUCCCUGACCACUGGGACACCAACAAGGCAGCAGAAACCAGAUUCAGACCUCCUCUGUUAAAAGGAGAUAACAUCUCCUGCCACUUGACACCAGUAUGCAGGUUUAACACUAUCUGUGUUUUCUGACAUGGUUUUUGCUAUUUUAUAGAUAUUCACACGUGUAUUUUAUUUGUGGCUUUUGGUGAAUUUGUAAAAUUUGAAGUGAAGUUAUUUUAAUUUUUCCCUCCUCAGGCUCUGUGGAAGGCUCCUGUGCCAUUCUGCUUGUGUGAGCACCGACAAAUCCAUCCCCUGAGAGACAACUAAUUAGUCACUAGUCACAGGGAGGUUUAAGUCUCAUUCCUAAGGAAGGAGGUAACGUCAUGGUGGCAAAACCUGUCACCUUUGCCUGACCAACCUGAAGGGACAAAGACUGUUACUGCACAGUCCAAUCCCUUUGUGUGACAGGGUAAAGGAUACUGACUUACCUAGGGUGGAAAAUGUAAUAAUGUAAAGAUAUUCAAAGAGAAAUCAUCUCCAAGCAGUGCUAACAUUUUCACAGGCAGCUAUCUCUUCCUGUGCCACAAACGAAUCAGAGUAUCAGCAACUAAGCGAUGGGCAGUUAUUUAAUGAGUUAAUCUCAUUAGGAUAUUUGAACUCUCAGAAGAGGCUCAACCCAUUAGCUGCGUGAGAGCUUUGAAAUGAGCCUUUCAAAAGGACUAUAAGAAUAUAUUAAAAAGUGGUUAAUACGAUGUGGACUUUACCAGGGUUCCCCUCUGGACCAGGCUGGCUGGCAGGAGGAGGAGCACAAGGUCGUUACCCCGAUGAACUUCUCCAAAAGCCCCGCAGCCGCGUAGCUAAUGGGCCCCAGUCAACCCUAGAUCCCAUAAAGUAACAUCACUAACAGUUUGAAUUCCUGUUGUUUCUAAGGGUAACUUUGCUAUUCUGUGCAAUUUCACCUUGCUUCCCAAUUUUGAAUCCUAUAGCUUUACCUGAUCUGGAUAGUUAAACCUGGACUAGUCUUACUUUGUAUGUAAGAGAAAAAAUACCCUAUAAUAAUAGUUUUACAUUAAAGUUACUUAACCUCACAUUCUUCACAGUGAUGACACCUCCUCUAUUCCUUUCCUUUCUUUUAACUUAAAUUUAAUUACCAUAAAUGCAGAUUGUGAUUAACUAAAUUAAGAAGAACAGUAGAGUCUCAUCCAGACCAACAUCAUGUCAUUACUUCGAUUUCAGUGGAAUACCACAGCUUACACCUCUGGAAUUUACAUUGUAUAACUGAUUCCUGCCUUUUAUAUUUACUUGUAUUAGCUUCACUAGAAUUAUUCACCUCAAUAAAGUGAACAGUAUUUGACCCUAUAACAUUAAAUGAAAGGCAUUAAUAGAAAAACCUAGAGAAUAUCUUCCAGCAAUAAUUAAAACUCAGGGCAGAAUAAUUUUUUCUGUCAUCAUAAAUCACAAUGAAAUGUGGAUACCUAAUGUCUGAUUAUUCAGACCCGCUCCAUUAAAGCAGUCAAGAAAUGUCCACCACUUAAUUGCUAAUGCUAAUUGUAUUUAGUCUAUGGGUUUAAAAGCAGUGAUAUGAAAGCUUCAUAUUGUUUAGAGUAUUGUAAAAUGUAACUGUUAAGUAAUGCAUUUUCAAGAGUUUGGGGAAGGAACAUUAUUAAAGUUCAUUUCCAUGCUGCAGCUGCAGGAGUUGGAAUUAUGAAAGUGAAGAAGCUGUAAAAUUGAAAAGGUCAGGAAUGACAUUCAUCUAUUCCAGCUGCCAAAUCAAGGGAAUGUUAACAAAACUAGUCUCUAGUAGAAAAGCUAAUUGUCUACUUGUAUUUUGGCUGCCCCAAUACAUGUACUCUACUGUGGCUAAUCUAUAGGAAAGACCACACUGGAACAGCACAUCAUUUUUUUUAACAGGCCUCUUGUAAACAAAUUAACCUUAUUUCCCUAAAUAUGCAAACUCUAACGAUUCUAUAACCCAAAUCAGUCUACACAGCAGCCAAAUGUUUCAAGUCAGUGUUUAAAGAAAACAGAAUCCGAAUGAAGUUCGUUUACUCCUGGAAGCAGAGUUAGUUUUCAGAGUGCUGGGAGUACAGGGCAAAUUUUAAAUUUUACUCUAAUGUUGUAUUCUUGCAAGCAGCAUUUCUAAAAUGUCUCAUCCCAAGGCAUGUUAACAUAUAACAACACAUUGAAAAGUUUCUGUCACAGACCAGAUCUUUUGUAGAUGACCUGGAUUUAAUGAUCCCACAGUGUGAAGGACCUUCCAGGGUAUCCGGUGCUUAAUCUACCCAGUUUUAUUGCAAGCCCCUCUGGCUAUUUUCUAUCGUUCUUUGGUUUUGUGUUUUCACCCGAUACGCUGCAGGUGUUACCAGAGGUCUACAUGUACAACUUGAACAAGCACACAUAGCUGACACUCACGUGCAGACUGUAUUCCCAUAACGCACAUAUCCACCACCUCAAAUUUUGAUUUGUCCUGUGUAAUGUAAUACAGAUGUCCCAGAAACAAUCCAACUUGACCUAUGACAACAUAAUAUUAGCUCAGUAUGUAGCUUUCUGGGUAACAUUUUAAAAAUCUUUCUGUUACUUGACUUUUUUCCUAUGGAAAAGUAUUGCAGAAGCUAGAAACAAUACUGACAAUUCAUGAAAUAUUCAGGUGUACAGUUGCAAUCCUUUAAUAAAUGGAAGUGACCUUCAAAACAGACAUCCCAAAGAUUAAGAGAACUUCUCAAAAGAUGGCAUUUGUCACUAAUCAAUGACUUGAAGAACUUACACUCUUCCUAGAAAUGAAUACAAAAAAGACCUUUCAGAAUUAUAUCACUUUAAAAGCAAAUAGUUCACAAAACCCAUAUAAAAGAACAUUAAUGAGUUAACAAAACAACAGAACAAAGUAUCAAACAAGCAAAUUGAAAGGAUAAAUCCCCUUGUGCCUAUCAGUACCUAUGUCCAUGUCCAGAGUGCAGGAAAGCCAUCUGCACAUCCACCUACUGUUCACAGGGGUUGGACGAUGCUAUCAGCAUUAACUACACUUCUUUGAUUGCGAUAUUGUACGUCAAAAUAUUUAUAACAUUUUACAAAUGGAUUUCCUUUUUCAUAGUCGCACAGAUACCUUGGCUCUAACUGGGUCACUGUAUUGCAACAGAUGUAAUCUCAGCAGAAUACUGUGAGAAAUCUGGGCUACGUUAAUGACUGAUCCAAUUACAGCGGAAAUCUCUAGAAAACCCAGAUUUAUUAAGAACCAGGAGACAAUUACAAUGUAUUUCUAGGGACAACCAGAUGGACAAGCCAGUCUCAAACUCUUUAAGGGGGCUGGAGCUCAACAAGCAGUGCCUAUGCCAUUACCUACAUAGUUGGAGAAAUUCCCGUUCUGAGGAUAUGAUGAAAAAGCCGGAGACUCGCUGCGGACACCUGGGGGGACUGGAUCUAAAUGCAUUCUAUCCCAGGAAGCAGCAUGGCUUACGCACUUCUGUGAGGACAGGGUGACAGAGGAAAAGCUGUCCAGGAGAGAAUGGCAGAGCAGGAAUCAAGAAACCUCAGGAAACUUUUUGUCCAAGGAGAGUAUUUACACAAAAGAGCUCCUUAUGAUUUAAUAUCAGGUCCUCUUGAAAAGAUACAUUUUUCUCUCCUGAAUAGGAAAUAAAUGCCACCUUCCGAGUAGCAAUCUGAUCCCAUGCUUAAGCAAACCUAGCAAUCUACCACAGAUUUGCACGCAGAAAAAGUGAAUUAAAAAUACUUGAGAAAUGUGAGUAUAGACAGCUCCUUUUACCACCCCAAAGAAAGCUAAAAUUUCACAGCAUCCUCUGUGAUCUCGCUAAGACACUUCAUCAGAGGAACCUGCCCCUGCCUCUAGAAAACUGCAUCUGUGAGUAGUCCGAUUAACGUAAUUUGGAUCUAAGAGGAUGUCUGAAGUUAAACAUUUAGUUAAUUGGGAACUUUGCUCAGCUAAAUAUUUUACCUGAGAACUUAUAUUGAAACAGUAGAAAAUAAUAUUUCUUGUUUAUGGAACUUCCAGCCUGCUCCAAGCCAGUAAAUAUUUACAUUUCAGCCACUCUGAUAGCUAAUGUGACCUUUCUGUUGUACACUUUACACCUGUGCUGUAUUUUACUUUCAUUGUUAACAAUCUUUCUGGUCCCUCUUACAUUAACAAGCAGUAUUUAAAUAUAUGCAAAUUUCAUAUUUUAGCUGAUGUUUUAGGAACAUUUUUAAGGUCACCCUGUUUGAUCUAUCACACAGACAUAGCAAAUUUAUGCACCAUAUAUCCUAUCUCUACUUGUUUUUUACCUACAUCUGUCUUCUCUGAUUGCAUUUGAAUGGGCUUAUUUUCUAUUUUAAAUAAAAGAUUUAUGCCUUAGCUGUCAGUUUGCCUUUAUUUGAAAAUUUAAUUUUGUUUCUAGAAAUCUAGAUUAACUUAUUAGAUUUAACUGUCCCUUAUGCAUUGCAACAAUAGCAGAAGUAUAUUUUCCCUUGUGGCUAGAGUACAUAAACAAAAUGCUCUUGACAAAAAUAAAGAACGUUAUUACUCAGACCAAUACAACACAGUCAGUCCAGGAUACAAAAACUGGUGUUGUCAUUUUUAAUAAUGAUGGUGAGCAGUGGGAACUGACUAAUAAAUAUGAUAACUCACAAAUCCAGGGAGCUCCCAACACCUUGAAAUGCUUUGGAGAAAAGGCAUGUUCUCCCACAGUGCCUCCUACACUCAGGUUGGCAAAUACCCUCUCGUGACACAGCGCCACUGGGACACGACUUGAUUGGUGAUACUCAAGGAUGUAUUUAAAUGAGGCAGAAAUGAGAAUCUGCCCCACUGUUUCGAGUUAGUCAGAGGCCUAUUUAUUGAUUCAGUGUGGUAUUUCACAUCCUCAGUGUGACGUGUUCUUUAGCAUCUCUCAGCAGUGCUACUUGCACAAUACUGUUCCUCAAGCCCUGAAAUUUCAGAGCGUUCCUAAAAGGAUAACCGCCUCAUGGCAGUUGCUGCCUGUGGUCCUCGCAAUGCCCAAAACAGCUGAGUUCUCGGGGUGUGGGAGGGAGGUGUGUGUUGGGGGAAGGGGGGCGCUGGGGACCGUUUAUCUUUUCAAAUGUAUUCACACAUUUUGACUCUUUUUCUCCUUUUUUCAUUUCUAGAAGUACCCGGGCUUCUGAGCAGUUCAGUUAUUUUCCCUUCACGUUGCGACAUCCGCAUAGACCUGGACAGAAUCUGUCUUUAAUCAACCCCUGCACCUCUUAUAAACACUAAAAUCUUACAGCUUGCGAUUCUGCACUCUCAAUAACAUGCACUGCUUUUGAAAGGAAUAAGUGUUCGUGUAUCAAUAAUGUUCAUAGGACCAUCAAGAGGUUGCAGUAUAAUGAUGCCAAGAACAGAGAAAGCAAAAAGCUGAAAGAUAGGUAUUUACACGGCUAUGUUAGUAUACCUUCUGUCACAUCGUGGCAAACUGUAUCCUGAUUCACUUUGUUAAACACUGAACAUCAUGAGCAAAGGUCUUUUGAGGAGAAACAGGAAUUCCUUAUACAAAGAAAACAAAUGCAUGUACAUGAUGGCUUUUACCACUCACAAAAUAUCAGCUGAGAGUUGAAUGGCACGUUAUGACUACAAGGUCCUCUCUUCUCCCAUUCAGGGCAACACAGUAGUUUUUUAAUAUAAGCAAUGAUGAAGAACAGCAUGACCACCAGUAAAAAAAAAAGAAGGCAUUAAGAGAGGCAGAACAGGCCAAAGCUGAAUCUGUUUGUCAGCCUUCAGUCUGUGCCACUCUAUGCAUAAAGUGCUAUCAGAUCCAAGCAGUCACUGCAGUAACUAGUCAAUCUUGACGUCAGCCCCAUAAAAACCGAGUGAAAAUACCACAAAGGACAAUCUCCACAUACACGAUACCAUCAAUACAAAAGUGGAACAUUCCCAAAGUUCUUGGAAAAAAUCUCAUCAUCUCAGAAACACUCUAAGAUACAUAUUCUAGACACAAUCAUGAUUAUGAGCCUCCUGCUGUCAUAUCCAAGUAAAGAAUACACACUCACUGUGUAACAUCACUUUGGCAUGGUAUGAGCACGCUAGUGGAGGUACUGGGCAGGUAACCAUUCAGCAGGGAAGGCCCACAUUUACUUGCUCUCUUGAUAGCAGGUUCCCUUCCUGAGGGGCUCCAGUAAAUUCAUUUCUAUCCCUUCUGCUGUGACAGCAAAAAUUUAUCAAGCAUGUGUUAUGUUAAAUCCUAUACCUAUGACUUUUCAAAGCAUCAUACAAGACAGAAAAUAAAAGGGCAAGACUUGCAAGGAAGUAAACGGUGCACUACACACUUAAAGGUUUCUCCAUCAUGCUUAAGAAGUAGAAUAUAUUAUCAUGACAAUUAUUUUGUUACAGAAAGCACCUUCAAAUACCAAAUCACUUGUACAAACCACUGCACCAACGCAGCUGAAAAGACUGCACCUCCUCCAAAGAUAGUAGUGUCACUUUGAUUUAACAAGUAAUUAAUGAAUAUAUAAACCCUGGACAGAACUUUAAUCUAUCCCAGUGCCAAAUAAUUAAUCAUUCAUUCCACGUUUAAUCCUCUUCUGAUAAAUGUAAUUAAUAUUUCACCAUGGCACUGCAGAAUAGAACAGUACCUGGAAGCAGAGAAAGGCAGCCUUCCAUUUCUCUCUCAUCGUAACUCUGAGGGGAUAGGUGCUGUCUACAACUGACAAGUAAUCCAGAAUACAGUGUUCCCCCGCAGACGUAAAUUAGGGUUUAUGCAUGGCAUACAUUGUGAUUGUAAUGAGGCUUUUCUUCCUCUGACCUGUUAGUAACAAAACAAACCAAACCAAACCCCAACAACUAUGAAAAAUAAGUCACCUGAGCUUGGUCAACCAUUUUUCUGAUCUGACAGCAUUUGGGAAACCAGUACUUGCACUAAUGUCUUCGUUUCUACAAUGUCACUGAACAUAUGCCAGGGCUGUGGCUAGAGAACAAAGCACGUGCAGAUUGUCUGCUUCUGUCCACAGAGAACAGCGCUGUGAGUAAAACCAACUGGAUGCAGAUUUAAGUCCUAAUUUUACUGCAGGAAAACACUGGCAUCUUUUUUUGAAGGCUUGAAGGGUAAUCAAGAAAUGUGUUGAUGUGCACAAAAUUAAAUUGCAGGAAACUCUAUGUUGAUUUUUUCUUUCAGGGUGACACGUCUCAGGAAUCCACGUAUUUCAGCAAAGAGUUUUGUGAGGAAGGUUCUGUAACAAACAAAUUGCCUUGGGAUCCUGCUGCCCAAUUACUCAGAAACAGAGAGGCGUCCAUUCACAGUUGUCUCUUUGCUCAGCAUUCUCAGUGUGGCCAUGAAGAUUUUUCUCUACACUAUUAUAAUUUCUUCUCAUUCAAAUGCAGAUGACCCCCUCCCUUCCCCCCAACCCCCAUUGAUUGAUAAUGCCAAUUGCCCUGACAAAUUUUUAAAGUCCUUACAAGAAAUACACCUUGUGGCACAAAACUUUCCCAGAGUCACAUACUGACGUCAGACAAAGGCAGCUGUAAUUUCUCCCCUUCCUAAGAUCCUGUAUUAUGCUACUAUCCUAUCUAUCAUUAAUCUAGUCCUCCAUUAUGUCCCAAAUCAGUAAGGAGGCAACUUUCAUCUGGGGCUCUCUGGUGGAGUAAGAUCAAAUAGAGCCACGUAGAACCAGGCAGUUUUAAUUUUGGGACCUGUCAGACCUAUUUUAUAUGCAAACUAAUUUGCACACCUGCAAACCGCUUAUCUGUGGUGACUGACAUCUGUAACAUCUAGAUGGCAAUUCUAGCCAGUUCUGCUGUACAGCAUUUUCACAUUUAGAGAGAACUUUAAUUUAGGAUCACGGUUUUAUCAUCUGGGAUUAAUUCAAAAUACUUUGUUUUCCAUUAGCUCCAAAUAUUCUAAAAAUGUACUUAACUUCUUGCUACUUGAAUAGAAUCUAAAAUGGUUAUAACCUGAGUCAUACCCCUUCUCAGAGCACUUCUCAAUGCUAAAGUAAGACCUAAAUACCUAGUAAGUGCGAGUUUUAGGUUCAUAAGAAACAACUGACCUGAUUAGAAGCAAUGGAUCAUUGAGGCAAGUAUCCUGCUUCUGACGGUAGCCAGUAACAGAAGCUUCAAAGGAACACUCCCGUCCACAAUAAAGUCUAAACAAUAGGAGGUUUUAUUUAUUGUGUUUCUUGAUUGAGUCAACAGUUCUGCGCAGGAGACACCUUAAGAGAUGACUGUAUAUGCCACAUCUUUAACUACUGCUUGCAGCAGUGGAUGAUAUUUAUACCCUUGUACCAAUAGUCACAUGGACUUGUUGGCCAGCUGCUGCACUGUCACCUCAUUUCUGAAUCCCACAAGGAAGCCUUUUCCAUAUUCAUGAACACUACAUUCAUUUCUAAGAUCCUGGAAACUCUCACUGAAUCUAUGAGUUAUAAUCCAAUUGAUUUUUUUAUCACUUAAGAUCAACAAAGCCUUAAUUCACUGUAGAAAGUGUCGUGUGGUGUUUCAUAUACAUACUCACACAUGACAUUAUUACAUCUUUGCUAUUACAUGUGGAUUUUAUUUCUAUUCAUUCAUUCUAAUUAUUUAAAAUUGGGGGAAGAUUAAAUUAUUGAUAGAUGUGAAUAUACCAUUCUAUGUCAGAUUUUGUGAGAUUGCAUUAUGAAGACUAUCUCUUGUAGGAAAAACAUUUCUGCUUUACAAGAAAACCAAUGUUAAAUUGAAAUGGUAGCUAUCAGCCAAGGUUAGACCCAUUCAUGCUAAUAUGACCUUCAAUUAGUGAAGCACACAUGUCUCAAGAACAAGCCAUUUUAUCAGACACACAGUCUAGGAUGAGGAAAUGUUGGUAUCCUCGAAAAAUUCUACUUUGAGGUGACCUUCUACUUAGCCAGGCUCAUUAGGCAAAACAAAAAUAAUCAUGCAGCUUCUUCCUGGUCUCUCUUUAGAAGGUUUUCAGGAAACCUCAAAUUACAAAUAAUGAUUUAACCCCGAAUUCGUGCUAAUACAUAGCAGCUUACACAGUUAACACAUUCAUUCUGCACAGUUCCCCAGAGACACUGUUUUACAGUGUUUUCUUUUACUUAGUAGGAACAGCUAUUGGCUUUUACUUAGAAAACACUACAAAUCCACUUGGGUCUAGAUUUUUUAAAUAGUAAAUACCAUUGUGACAUCCCUAAAUCAGCAAAGAAGAACUCAGCAGUACCUCCUAUUUUCAGCCACAUUUUCAGGGCACAGUAGUUUUCUCACAGAGGUGCUCAAAUGGCAGCGAAGCUGUUCUGGAAACCUGGCUAACUUCAGUGCUUAAGUAGCUGAAUCAUGAGACACUUCUCAUCCAGAAAUAUAGCACCUUUGACACAACAAACAAGUAAAUAUAUAUAUACUCCAUUUGUAAGCUCUGACAUGUUCAAACAAGUUUGUGGCUGCUAAACAAAUAUUUACCCUAGCCAAAAAGAAAAUGAAUGAGAUUAUCAUACGGCAUUUUCUCCAAUUAUUACAUAAGCCCUUUCAGCAACAUGCUGUAGGCAACAAAGGAGUUACAUACAAUGUCGUAUUCCUUUUAAGUUACCUAUUAGAAUACAGAGAAUUAAAUUAGAGAGAGAUGCUUAAGCAGCUAAGUAGAAAAAGUGAAUGCAGGUAAGAGAUCUUAAGGAAACAAGUGGAAGGCUGACUAUUAGGAAGCAACCACCAGGGCUAAGAACAGAGCAAACUUCAUGAGACUGAAGAGGGUGUUAAAUCAUCCUCAAACUCAGCACUGAAAGAGAGAAGAACUGGCUGAACAAUGGAGAGCUUCCCAGAAAAGAUCAAAGAGCUGGCAGGGAUGGAAGGGGAUGCAUAGGGAGAGACAGCUGGUAUAUGUUGCCAUUGCUUACUGAAGUCAGCUGAGAAAUAAGAACUUACAUUAUAGAAAAGGAUUUGGCUGUGCAAACCUAAUAGGUAGGAUGGGAUAAUGGACUGAUACAGUCAGAUCACGUUGUAUUCUUAGUACAGAAGACAGAAUCUAAAAUAAACUUUGUUGUACAAUA